Molecule: long non-coding RNA, 379 nt
Organism: Myotis lucifugus (little brown bat)
Lineage: Eukaryota; Metazoa; Chordata; Mammalia; Chiroptera; Vespertilionidae
Exons: 3
Source: RefSeq, a predicted model, not a curated record
GCGGCGCUGUGUGACCGGGACGGGGCGCGCUGGGGAGGCCGGGCCGAGGUGAGGCCCGCUGCCCGACACUCACGCACGGCUCCACUGAGGCUACAAGAACGCGAAAAAGCCUACUGGCCUGAGCAAGGAGCCCUGAGAAUCAGAAGAGCAGGAAAAAGAAAGAAGCACAAGAAUGAGGAGAAAAAUAGCACAGGACCAAGUAGGUCCUCGGGUUACAUCGGAGAUCCGUUCCUAUGGCACCACGUAAUGUAAUGUGAUUUCGCCAUAAGUCGGAACCCACCUACAUAAGCACCUAUGUCACUCACAUGGAGCACAUACACAGCAGCAAUGAAGUGAAACAGUAAAAAAAAAUUUAAAAGAUAACAAUUCCUGACCUUUA